ACCAAGACAAAUCAGACCAAUCUUAAGACAACAUGAACCACCAAACCAAUAUUAAGACAAUUCCAACUACCAGACCAAGACUAAUCAGCCAAUCUUAUGACAACAUGAACCACCAAACCAAUAUUAAGACAAUUCCAACUACCAGACCAAGACUAAUCAGCCAAUCUUAUGACAACAUGAACCACCAAACCAAUAUUAAAACAAUUCCAACUACCAGACCAAGACAAAUCAGCC
RNAcentral lists this long non-coding RNA (234 nucleotides) under Mytilus galloprovincialis (Mediterranean mussel). The record is from RNAcentral. Lineage: Eukaryota; Metazoa; Mollusca; Bivalvia; Mytilida; Mytilidae.